RNAcentral lists this long non-coding RNA (2046 nucleotides) under Marmota monax (woodchuck). Lineage: Eukaryota; Metazoa; Chordata; Mammalia; Rodentia; Sciuridae. The record is from RNAcentral.
CUAACAAGGCAAGGAUGGAAGACACCCCUUUUUUUCCCUUUGGGGAAAAACAACCAGGAGAUGCCCUUCACUCAGGUGGCACUUGGUCCCCCCUAGUGGUGCAAUUCAGAAACUCCAGGAGAGAAACCUUUCCACCUACUUUUCUCUCCCCACUCCUCUCUCUCUCUCGAACUUGUUCCUGCUCUAUCUCUUUUAAUUAGAGCUUGAUAGUUAAACAUUGUAGUUGGGUUCAUCCGAGCAAACUCAUACAUGCAUGGAAAUUGAUUUCAGUUCAUGAUCCCCCCUUUUCCCUCUGCUUUUUCUUUCCCUCUUUUCCUUCCAAUCUUCCAUUCCCUCUCCCAUUCUCCUUCCUUUAAAACUGAUAGAAGAAAAUUAGGCUCAACACUCCAUCAUGCAGGUGCUGCCUCCAACUUCCUUAAAAAGACCCCCAAAGCACAAGAAAUAAAACCAAGAAUCAAUUAAUGGGAUGUCAUCAAACUACAAAGCUUCUGCACAGCAAAGGAACCUGAAGAGAGAGCCUACAGAAUGGGAGAAAACCUUGGCCAGCUAUUCGUCCAAGGAGGGAUUAAUAUCCAAAAUAAACAAAGAACCCCAAAACCUUAACAUCAAACAAUCCCCCCAAAACAAAUAACACAAUCAAAAAGUGGGCAAAAGAACUAAGCAGAAACUUCUCAAAAGAAGAAACGCAAUGGCCAACAAAUAUGUGAAAACUAUUCAGCAAUUCUAGCAAAUCAAAACCACAUUAAGGUUUUGUCUCACUUCAGUCAGAAUAGCAAUGAUCAAGAAUGUGAACAAUAAUGCAUGCUGGUAAGGUUGUGGAGAAAAAGGUACACUCUUACAUUGUUGGUGGAACUGCAGACUAGUACAAUCAAGAGUGGAAAUUCAUUAAAAACAACCAACCACCACCAACAAUCUAGGAAUGGAACAAUUGUAUGACCCACUAUCCUACUCCUUGGCCUUUUCCCCAGAGAUCUAAAAUCAGCAUACUACAGUGACACAGCCACAUCAAUGUUUAUAGCAGCACAAUUCACAAUAGCUAAAUUAUGGAUCAACACAGAUGCCCAUCAAUAGAUGAAUGGAUUAGGAAAUACACACACACACUCACACUGGGAUGGGGAUUGGAGGGAGUGAAUCUGGAAAGGGAGAGCAUAGGGCCAGGAAAGAAAGGAGAAAGGUGCUGGGAGGGGAGAGGGGAGCCCAACAGUUGUCAGACCUGCUCAUGAGGACUGGGAGAAGAGAUUGUCAGUUGAGGAUAUUUGACAGAAAUGCUGUGAGAUGUGAGAACCCCCCCCCCCCCUAUACCCCUGAUCCCACCUGUCCUUCUGAUCAAUCACAUUUAAACUCUACUCUUGCUAGAAUUUUGUUUCUGAAGAAGGGAAUAAGAAAAUAGUUCAUAUAAAGGUCCAUGAUUUUUACUAAUAGAAGUCCUGUUUUCUCUUUACCAAAUAUUGAAUAUUCACGUUUUUAAAUGCAGUGUCAGAUUCUUAACCACUCAGGGAACUCACACCUGGGCUGACCCUACUGCUUGGGGCUUUGUGUUUCUAACACUUAAUUUUAAGUGCUGGGAAUUGAAUCCAGGACCCCAUGUGUGCCAGGCAAACGCUCUAUCACUGAACCACAUCCCCAGCCCUAUAUGCAUCUGAGAUGUCCUCCCUGAGAUUGAGGGAUAACAAAUUCUCAAAAUCUUAUAGGGUAAAGGGGUUGUAUUAUUUUGUAUGACAAAACUAAAUGUAAGAGCAAGAGAUUGGGAUAUUGUGGUUUAGCACCAUAUCAGGAAAGCCAGGUAGGGCUUCAAAACAACUAUUCUAGAGUCAGAUUUGCUUCAUAAUUCCACAGGUAUUUUACCUAUAGAGUUGAGGUCCUUAUUCCAGAGGUAAGAAGGUUGGCUAAGAUAAUUGUACACAUUGAUAAAAAGCCCUUCCCCUCUGCCUGUGAGGGUUGUGGGGAAAUGUCACUGUACUUGCCAAAUAAGUAAUGGAUAGUCUGUGUAAGAGAGAUUACUAGGAGGAACACAAUGUGGGACCUGCAGAGAGCUGGAUAGAAUGG